GAUGAAGAACGCAGCGAAAUGCGAUACGUAGUGCGAAUUGCAGAAUUCAGUGAAUCAUCGAAUCUUUGAACGCACAUUGCACCUCUCGGUAUUCCGGGAGGUAUGCCUGUUCGAGCGUCAUUUGUACCCUCAAGCUCUGCUUGGUGUUGGGUGUUUGUUCCGCCUCUGUGUGUGAACUCGCCUCAAAACAAUUGGCAGCCGGCGUACUUGUUUCGGAGCGCAGCACAUUUUGCGAUCCAGAUCAACGUACAGCGGCAUCCAAGAAGCCUUAUUUAACGCUCUUGACCUCGGAUCAGGUAGGGAUACCCGCUGAACUUAAGCAUAUCAAUAAGCGGAGGA
Molecule: unclassified non-coding RNA, 339 nt
Filed under: soil metagenome
Description: partial contains 5.8S ribosomal RNA, internal transcribed spacer 2, and large subunit ribosomal RNA
Rfam family: 5.8S ribosomal RNA (bases 1-120)
Source: RNAcentral